GACGAACGCUGGCGGCGUGCUUAACACAUGCAAGUCGAACGGUAAGGCUCCAGCUUGCUGGGGUACACGAGUGGCGAACGGGUGAGUAACACGUGGGUGACCUGCCCUGCACUUCGGGAUAAGCCUGGGAAACUGGGUCUAAUACCGGAUAGGACCGCACCGUGAGGGUGUGGUGGAAAGUUUUUUCGGUGUGGGAUGGGCCCGCGGCCUAUCAGCUUGUUGGUGGGGUAAUGGCCUACCAAGGCGGCGACGGGUAGCCGGCCUGAGAGGGUGGACGGCCACAUUGGGACUGAGACACGGCCCAGACUCCUACGGGAGGCAGCAGUGGGGAAUAUUGCACAAUGGGCGGAAGCCUGAUGCAGCGACGCCGCGUGGGGGAUGACGGCCUUCGGGUUGUAAACUCCUUUCACCAUCGACGAAGGGUUUCUGACGGUAGAUGGAGAAGAAGCACCGGCUAACUACGUGCCAGCAGCCGCGGUAAUACGUAGGGUGCGAGCGUUGCCCGGAAUUACUGGGCGUAAAGAGCUUCGUAGGUGGUUUGGUCGCGUCGUCUGUGAAAAUCCCGAGGCUUAACUCCGGGCGUGUCAUGCGAUACGGGCAUUAACUUGAGUACUGUAGGGGAGACUGGGA
Molecule: ribosomal RNA, 630 nt
Filed under: uncultured Corynebacterium sp.
Lineage: Bacteria; Bacillati; Actinomycetota; Actinomycetes; Mycobacteriales; Corynebacteriaceae
Description: bacterial SSU rRNA
Rfam family: Bacterial small subunit ribosomal RNA
Source: RNAcentral